GACGAACGCUGGCGGCGUGCCUAACACAUGCAAGUCAACUUGACUGAAGGAGCAAUCUGACAGUAGAGUGGCGCAAGGGUGCGUAACGCGUAAGUAACUUGCCCAAGGUAAGGAAUAACGUCGAGAAAUCGGCGCUAAUACCUCAUAAUGCAGCGGAUCCGCAUGGAUAUGUUGUUAAAGGUUUACCGCCUUGGGAUAGGCUUGCGUCUGAUUAGCUAGUUGGUGUGGUAACGGCACACCAAGGCUACGAUCAGUAACUGGUCUGAGAGGAUGAUCAGUCACACUGAAACUGAGACACGGUCCAGACUCCUACGGGAGGCAGCAGUGAGGAAUAUUGGGCAAUGCUCGAAGAGUGACCCAGCAACGCC
Molecule: ribosomal RNA, 368 nt
Filed under: uncultured bacterium
Lineage: Bacteria
Description: bacterial SSU rRNA
Rfam family: Bacterial small subunit ribosomal RNA
Source: RNAcentral